AACGAACGCUGGCGGCGCGCCUAAUACAUGCAAGUCGAGCGAGAAGACGUAGCAAUACGUUUGUAAAGCGGCGAACGGGUGAGGAAUACAUGGGUAACCUACCCUCGAGUGGGGAAGUAACUAGCCGAAGGUUAGCUAAUACCGCGUACGCUUCUUGGACUUCGGUUCAGGGAGGAAAGACGAUGCCGAGGGUAUCGCGCUCUUGGAUGGGCUCAUGUCCUAUCAGCUUGUUGGUGAGGUAACGGCUCACCAAGGCUUCGACGGGUAGCUGGUCUGAGAGGACGAUCAGCCACACUGGCACUG
RNAcentral lists this ribosomal RNA (303 nucleotides) under uncultured bacterium. RNAcentral's name for it is "bacterial SSU rRNA". It matches the Rfam family "Bacterial small subunit ribosomal RNA", at positions 29 to 321 of the family's 1533-position model. The record is from RNAcentral.